CAUUUCAAUUUCACAUAUAUAACUACACUCAAACAGUAGGCAAACAGUAAGCAAACAGUAAGCAAAUAAUGAAAUAUCAAAUGAUUUUGACUAAAUUAGUAGGCCCUAUAAUAUAAACCACGAUGGCAAGAGAAGAUGCUUUAUCAAUUAUCAUCAUGAUUGGCAAUGCAAGUGGUGACUUUCGGAAUAAUAUUAUAUUUCAGCUAGGGCUGUUGAAACAUGCAUGCAAUGUAUUAUGUAUGUAAGCACUUCCCUCAUUUCCCACUCCGAAAAGGGGUGUGAGUAUGAGGCUAGAACUAUGCACCGAGGAUAGGCAAUGUCUUCUAGCAUACGUUACAAGGGAGAAGAGAACGAGGAGAAUGUUAGGUAAAAAGGAAAUUAGGGUUUGGGGUUUUAUAAUUUAUACAGCAAAGCACCACAUGUGUAAUAGUUAACUUGAUUUUUUUUAAUGGAAUAUUAUUUUAUUUUUGUUC
Pyrus x bretschneideri (Chinese white pear) is the source of this 473-nucleotide long non-coding RNA. RefSeq lists it as uncharacterized. The record is from RefSeq and is a predicted model, not a curated record. Lineage: Eukaryota; Viridiplantae; Streptophyta; Magnoliopsida; Rosales; Rosaceae. The transcript is spliced from 2 exons.